CACGGACCAAGGAGUCUAACAUAUUUGCGAGUGUUCUGGUGAAAAACCAACAACGCGAAAUGAAAGUAAACUUGAAUAAGAACAGCCUGGUAAGAAGGGUUGUGCAUUAUUGACCGAUCUGGAUUUUUUUGAAAGAUUUGAGUAAGAGCAAAUAUGCUGGGACCCGAAAGAUGGUGAGCUUUGCCUGCGGAGGGCGAAGCCAGAGGAAACUCUGGUGGAGGCUCGUA
RNAcentral lists this ribosomal RNA (227 nucleotides) under Symbiodinium sp. clade D. RNAcentral's name for it is "partial Eukaryotic large subunit ribosomal RNA". It matches the Rfam family "Eukaryotic large subunit ribosomal RNA", at positions 660 to 879 of the family's 3401-position model. The record is from RNAcentral. Lineage: Eukaryota; Dinophyceae; Suessiales; Symbiodiniaceae.